UACGAAGGGGGCUAGCGUUGCUCGGAAUGACUGGGCGUAAAGGGCGCGUAGGCGGAUGGCACAGUCAGAUGUGAAAUUCCUGGGCUUAACCUGGGGGCUGCACUUAAUACGGCCAGGCUUGAGUGUGGAAGAGGGUCGUGGAAUUCCCAGUGUAGAGGUGAAAUUCGUAGAUAUUGGGAAGAACACCGGUGGCGAAGGCGGCGACCUGGUCCAUUACUGACGCUGAGGCGCGAAAGCGUGGGGAGCAAACAGG
This 253-nucleotide ribosomal RNA is filed under the name uncultured bacterium. Its description in RNAcentral is "partial 16S ribosomal RNA". It matches the Rfam family "Bacterial small subunit ribosomal RNA", at positions 524 to 776 of the family's 1533-position model. The record is from RNAcentral.